CUAGCAUCGCUGCACACUGUUAGUCUUGAUAUUAACCACAAGCAUAAAGUAUUUUGUUCAGCCCACCUUCUGUUACAGGGAUUUGAGAAGGUUUUGGCAACAUGUUGCAUAUCUAAUACAUCUGGAUACCAGUUUCUUUAGAGUAGUAUGGCAAUUGUUUUUAUCCUCCUGUGAUACAUUUAAUAGUGGCUGAGCCAGUGCUUGAAAAGCCAGUGGGCCAUAGUGCCAUGUGUACAGGCCUUAAGUUAUUAAAACUCUUCUACAGGCCCAAUGUAAUGGCCAGGAACACCUUGAGUGCUUAUGUUUACAUAACAGAGUAAAAACUACAAAAAUGAACACUAAGGCUAAAAGUCCUGCACAGUGAAUCAGCCAUAUCCAGAAGACACUUUGUGAGGGGCGGGGAGUGGGAUUUCUACACCACAAAAUUGUACAACAAUGUUGCAAUGCAAUGCAAUUUGAGAACAAUGCAACUUUGGUCUUUUAUGCAUGACAUUUACAGAAGACAAAGCCAAGUUCAGGAAACUUGAGCCAUAAUCACAAGAUUGAGUUUUGUGUUUUAGGCUGUGUGCCAUCAGGUACCAAACACCAGUAGUGCAAAGAAUAAAAUAUUUUAAGUAUUGUUUUGACAUGUGUCUAUAUCUACUGUCUUUGUCAUAUGUUUACAAAGCACUUCACUUAAUAGGAAGGCAAAGAACACAAAGAAGCUUGACCUUGAUGCAUGUAAUGAUUUUAUCCAGGUUCCCGCCUUGAGCUGGAUUCGAACCAGGCUGUGCACACCUACCGCUACUUUAUAGGCACGAACCGGACCCCCAGAUCCCUCAACAGUAAGAGCUUCUCUGUGAACCGCGAGUGUAUUAUUCGAUCACGCUUUUCAGUCUGCACUUUGAGUGAGUAACUUCCGCUGAUUCGACCAAUCAGAAGCUAAAUGGGCGGAGCAGAAUACGCUGACCAAUCGGGGUUUGGUCUACCGACGUUGGCCGGCGUGUGACGUCAUUGGCUAUGGCCGACUGCAGGGAGAGCACAGCGGCUAACAAACAAACUGAGGAGAAGUCGUGAAAAUAUGGAGUAAAACUAACGCUUCAGUCGUCGCUUCGAUCUGCUGGCACCGUGAGAAACUUGCUGGAUGUUAGAACAAGCGCUUGAGCUGUUUUUUAUCGAACACGAGUGAGGCUGGACGCUGAAGACACAUGCGGCGAGAAGGUCUGCAUGUUCAGCUGCUGCAGCCUGCAGGGAAACACCAGCUGUCACCUCGCAGACCAAACAGGUGUUACCACUUCGUCCAUGAUUGCAGAAUCCUCACACAACAAAGUAGUUCUUUGAGCUUGUGAAAAAGAGACAGACUCAAGGACUCAACCAGAAUUUCAACCAGCAAAUCACAGAGAGAAGACACAGACAAGAAGAUUGACAGAAGGUCCAGAACUUCAGCUGCUGACAUGUCCCCCUCCUCCUGCAGAGACACAACAAUGUGUUAGUUAUUAUUGUACUACUACUAAAUGACUAUGUCUCGGUAGGUUCUCAGUCAUCCAGCUCAUGGCACUCUUAAGUGCCAGCUUUAAAGGGAACUGGAUUUCUUUUAGGUUUCUUGAAGAUGUUUCACCUUGUCCAAAAGCCCUCUUCAACUGAAGAGGUUGUUUACCUAAGACGCAAAACAUCUUCAAGGAUCCCAAAAGAGGUCCAGUUGCAUUUGACUGAAGCACCUGGGUGACUGAGAACAUUCACAGAUGUACUAAGUUAUUAGUAUUAAUUUCAAAUCAACUACUGACUACAACUAAUUGCUACUGCCAUUCACUUGUUAAAACAAAAAUCAAUUUUCCUAUCUUUAGUGGAUCUUGUGAAAUAUAAACAACAAUCUGCAUGUUUGCUACGUGAACUUUCUAAAUAAAAUUAAAUGAUGAGUUUCUAUUCAGGCUAAUGACUGAUUAUUUAACUGAUACAUAA
Lates calcarifer (barramundi perch) is the source of this 1938-nucleotide long non-coding RNA. RefSeq lists it as uncharacterized. The record is from RefSeq and is a predicted model, not a curated record. The transcript is spliced from 6 exons. Lineage: Eukaryota; Metazoa; Chordata; Actinopteri; Centropomidae.